GGGCCGUUAGCUCAGUUUGCAUGGCACCGGACUCAUAAUCCGCCUCCGAAAGGACAUCGUCGGUUCGACUCCGACCCGGCCCA
RNAcentral lists this transfer RNA (83 nucleotides) under Paraburkholderia sp. BL23I1N1. It matches the Rfam family "tRNA". Rfam says of the family: Transfer RNA (tRNA) molecules are approximately 80 nucleotides in length. Their secondary structure includes four short double-helical elements and three loops (D, anti-codon, and T loops). Further hydrogen bonds mediate the characteristic L-shaped molecular structure. tRNAs have two regions of fundamental functional importance: the anti-codon, which is responsible for specific mRNA codon recognition, and the 3' end, to which the tRNAs corresponding amino acid is attached (by aminoacyl-tRNA synthetases). tRNAs cope with the degeneracy of the genetic code in two manners: having more than one tRNA (with a specific anti-codon) for a particular amino acid; and 'wobble' base-pairing, i.e. permitting non-standard base-pairing at the 3rd anti-codon position. The record is from Rfam by way of RNAcentral. Lineage: Bacteria; Pseudomonadati; Pseudomonadota; Betaproteobacteria; Burkholderiales; Burkholderiaceae.